CUUCAAGGAUAUAAGAAAAACAAUUUGAAGCUAAAGUCUGGCAGGUUGGACAUCACACGGUAUAUCAGUACAGAUGCAGCAAUGGAGGAACAUCAUGAACAUCCUAAAUUAGCACAGCCGGUGUCCUCGGCUGGAUUCGAAAGCGGCAUCUCGAGAAUACAAGACGGACAUGUACAACUUGAGCGAAAGAUCUGUUAUUUUAGAUGGCCAAAGGCGAAGCGAGAGAGUUGUGGAUGGCGGUCCGGUCUCGU
Molecule: long non-coding RNA, 251 nt
Organism: Cryptotermes secundus
Lineage: Eukaryota; Metazoa; Arthropoda; Insecta; Blattodea; Kalotermitidae
Exons: 3
Source: RefSeq, a predicted model, not a curated record